This 425-nucleotide ribosomal RNA is filed under the name uncultured bacterium. RNAcentral describes it as "bacterial SSU rRNA". It matches the Rfam family "Bacterial small subunit ribosomal RNA", at positions 354 to 796 of the family's 1533-position model. The record is from RNAcentral.
GUGGGGAAUAUUGGACAAUGGGCGCAAGCCUGAUCCAGCCAUGCCGCGUGAGUGAUGAAGGCCCUAGGGUUGUAAAGCUCUUUCACCGGUGAAGAUAAUGACGGUAACCGGAGAAGAAGCCCCGGCUAACUUCGUGCCAGCAGCCGCGGUAAUACGAAGGGGGCUCGCGUUGUUCGGAAUUACUGGGCGUAAAGCGCACGUAGGCGGGUAUUUAAGUCAGGGGUGAAAUCCCGGAGCUCAACUCCGGAACUGCCUUUGAUACUGGGUACCUAGAGUAUGGAAGAGGGAAGUGGAAUUCCGAGUGUAGAGGUGAAAUUCGUAGAUAUUCGGAGGAACACCAGUGGCGAAGGCGGCUUACUGGUCCAUUACUGACGCUGAGGUGCGAAAGCGUGGGGAGCAAACAGGAUUAGAAACCCUUGUAGUCC